UUCGCAAUGCCCGAAAGGGUGACGAAGCGACGCCGCGUGGGUGAAGAAGGCCUUCGGGUUGUAAAGCCCUGUCAGGAGUUAUGAAAUGUAGGUGCGAUAAUACCGUGCCUAUUUGACAAAGGCUCCAAGGGAAGCCACGGCUAACUCUGUGCCAGCAGCCGCGGUAAUACAGAGGUGGCAAGCGUUGUUCGGAAUUAUUGGGCGUAAAGAGCACGUAGGUGGGUUUGUAAGUCAGAUGUGAAAGCCUUCUGUUCAACGGAAGAAUUGCAUCUGAAACUGCGAGUCUUGAGUGUAGGAGGGGAGAAUGGAACUUCUGGUGGAGCGGUGAAAUGCGUAGAUAUCAGAAGGAACGCCGGCGGCGAAAGCGAUUCUCUGGCCUAUUACUGACACUGAGUGUGCGAAAGCUAGGGGAGCAGACGGGAUUAGAUACCCCGGUAGUCCUAGCCGUAAACGAUGGGCACUAAGUAGAGGGGUUUU
RNAcentral lists this ribosomal RNA (477 nucleotides) under Candidatus Scalindua marina (nom. nud.). Its description in RNAcentral is "bacterial SSU rRNA". It matches the Rfam family "Bacterial small subunit ribosomal RNA", at positions 365 to 832 of the family's 1533-position model. Lineage: Bacteria; Pseudomonadati; Planctomycetota; Candidatus Brocadiia; Candidatus Brocadiales; Candidatus Scalinduaceae. The record is from RNAcentral.